Molecule: ribosomal RNA, 312 nt
Filed under: Campylobacter fetus
Lineage: Bacteria; Pseudomonadati; Campylobacterota; Epsilonproteobacteria; Campylobacterales; Campylobacteraceae
Description: partial 23S ribosomal RNA
Rfam family: Bacterial large subunit ribosomal RNA
Source: RNAcentral
AAUGGUGGAUGCCUUGACUGGUAAAGGCGAUGAAGGACGUACUAGACUGCGAUAAGCUACGGGGAGCUGUCAAGAAGCUUUGAUCCGUAGAUUUCCGAAUGGGGCAACCCAAUGUAUAGAGAUAUGCAUUACCUAUAUAGGAGCGAACGAGGGGAAUUGAAACAUCUUAGUACCCUCAGGAAAAGAAAUCAAUAGAGAUUGCGUCAGUAGCGGCGAGCGAAAGCGCAAGAGGGCAAACCCAGUGCUUGCACUGGGGGUUGUAGGACUGCAAUGUGCAAGAGCUGAGUUUAGCAGAACAUUCUGGAAAGUAUA